UGGGGAAUUUUCCGCAAUGGGCGAAAGCCUGACGGAGCAAUACCGCGUGAGGGAGGAAGGCUUUUGGGUUGUGAACCUCUUUUCUCAAGGAAGAAGAUCUGACGGUACUUGAGGAAUCAGCAUCGGCUAACUCCGUGCCAGCAGCCGCGGUAAUACGGAGGAUGCAAGCGUUAUCCGGAAUGAUUGGGCGUAAAGCGUCUGCAGGUGGCUAUGCAAGUCUGCUGUUAAAGAGUGGAGCUCAACUCCAUAAGGGCAGUGGAAACUGGAUAGCUAGAGUGCGGUAGGGGUAGAGGGAAUUCCCAGUGUAGCGGUGAAAUGCGUAGAUAUUGGGAAGAACACCAGUGGCGAAGGCGCUCUACUGGGCCGCAACUGACACUGAGGGACGAAAGCUAGGGGAGCGAAUGGGAUUAGAUACCCCUGUAGUCC
RNAcentral lists this ribosomal RNA (426 nucleotides) under uncultured prokaryote. Its description in RNAcentral is "bacterial SSU rRNA". It matches the Rfam family "Bacterial small subunit ribosomal RNA", at positions 355 to 796 of the family's 1533-position model. The record is from RNAcentral.